GAUGAACGCUGGCGGCGUGCCUAAUACAUGCAAGUCGAGCGAAUGGAUUGAGAGCUUGCUCUUAUGAAGUUAGCGGCGGACGGGUGAGUAACACGUGGGUAACCUGCCCAUAAGACUGGGAUAACUCCGGGAAACCGGGGCUAAUACCGGAUAACAUUUUGAACCGCAUGGUUCGAAAUUGAAAGGCGGCUUCGGCUGUCACUUAUGGAUGGACCCGCGUCGCAUUAGCUAGUUGGGGAGGUAACGGCUCACCAAGGCAACGAAGCGUAGCCCACCGUGCAGGCGGAGCGGCCACACUGGGACUGGGCCAAGGCCCAGACUCCUACUGGAGGCAGCAGUAGGGAAUCUUCCGCAAUGGACGAAAGUCUGACGGAGCAACGCCGCGGGAGUGAUGAAGGCUUUCGGGUCGUAAAACUCUGUUGUUAGUGAAGAACAAGUGCUAGUUGAAUAAGCUGGCACCUUGACGGUACCUAACCAGAAAGCCACGGCUAACUACGUGCCAGCCGCCGCAGUAA
This 515-nucleotide ribosomal RNA is filed under the name uncultured bacterium. RNAcentral describes it as "partial 16S ribosomal RNA". It matches the Rfam family "Bacterial small subunit ribosomal RNA", at positions 28 to 523 of the family's 1533-position model. The record is from RNAcentral.